RNAcentral lists this long non-coding RNA (1103 nucleotides) under Ananas comosus (pineapple). RNAcentral describes it as "long non-coding RNA (ACOM_LNC011272)". Lineage: Eukaryota; Viridiplantae; Streptophyta; Magnoliopsida; Poales; Bromeliaceae. The record is from RNAcentral.
CGCUUCAUAUCAUCUAACAUACUAUUUUUCAAUUCAUUCGAUUCCGUACUCUCCUUAUUCUCAGCCAAUACACCAAACUGAUAUCUCCAUGCUCUAUUAUUCUCUAAAGGCCUUACUAUUCCAUGCAUGCCCAAUUAUCAUGUCUCCCCAGAUUGUGAUGUUUACAAGAGCCAACCUAACCAGUCAAACCAUAUCACAGUGAAAAGUAACUCAAAAUCUAUAGCAUGUAAACUAUGAUACCAACAAAAUAGCACAAGCCUAUAGUAAAAUCUGGUGUUUUAUUUGGAAGUUUUUCUAUUGAGUCUUCAGAUCUCUUUUCAGUUUUUCAUUGCAUCAAAAACUUCAGAUUUUGUAAGGGAGAAACAGGAGCAAAAUGAAAUAAACACCGAAUCUUCACUUGUUUGAGGAGCCUCAAAGAUUCCACAUAGAAAUUUCACUCACCUUGGCCCAUUUUAAGUGACCUUAGUGUUGACUCUAACAAUGCCACCUACACUGAAAGGCAUCACAUUCCUCUAGUGACAAGUUAGCAACUGCACAAAGAGUAUACUUCACAAGGUAGCAAAUGAAACAUUUUCUACCUAAAUGUGAUCACUGAAACUAACCAGCUGAGUCAUAAUCUUGCAAUCAAUAUCUUUCAUUAGGAAUGAGCUUUACAGAGACAAUGCUAUAGACUAUUACAUUUGACCUCAUACUCAUGGUUCACCUGUAGUCAUUGUUGAAAAAAGUACUAAAAGCUAUAUAUCGAGCGUCAGAAACACGCUAUUAUUUUAUUUUAUUUUUCUGUCACAAGGAAAAGCAGUAUAGAAUUUGACUAUUUGGAGAGCCUAAUUGGCUCUCCAUUUUCAACAUAAAUAGCAAUUCCACUAAACAUAACUCUAAGUUAUGGGUGUAAUGUAGGCCGUGUCCACAUUUUUCGUGCAGAUUCGGGCUAGGGGCCGGGCCGGGCCGGAGCUACCUCAAAUUCGGGCCAGCCGUGCCGGGCUGGAGCUACCAACUCUCCUGCCCAGUACGGCCCUUCGGCCCGGAAGGCCCAGGUCGGGCCGAGCCGGGCCAGGCAGUGCUUCGAGUCGGCCCCUAAAAGGUUUUAUUUUUAAAAAAAUAUA